This 553-nucleotide ribosomal RNA is filed under the name uncultured bacterium. Its description in RNAcentral is "bacterial SSU rRNA". It matches the Rfam family "Bacterial small subunit ribosomal RNA", at positions 355 to 896 of the family's 1533-position model. The record is from RNAcentral.
UAGGGAAUUUUUGGCAAUGGGGGGGAACCCUGACCGAGCAACGCCGCGUGAGUGAAGAAGGUUUUCGGAUCGUAAAGCUCUGUUGUUAAGGAAGAACGAGUGUGAGAAUGGAAAGUUCAUACUGUGACGGUACUUAACCAGAAAAGGGACGGCUNNUACNUCCAGCACAGCCGGUAAUAAAUAGUAGGUCCCGAGCGUUGUCCGGAUUUAUUGGGCGUAAAGCGAGCGCAGGCGGUUAGAUAAGUUUGAAGUUAAAGGCAGUGGCUCAACCAUUGUAGGCUUUGGAAACUGUUUAACUUGAGUGCAGAAGGGGAGAGUGGAAUUCCAUGUGUAGCGGUGAAAUGCGUAGAUAUAUGGAGGAACACCGGUGGCGAAAGCGGCUCUNNGGUCUGUAACUGACGCUGAGGCUUGAAAGCGUGGGGAGCGAACAGGAUUAGAUACCCUGGUAGUCCACGCCGUAAACGAUGAGUGCUAGGUGUUAGGUCCUUUCCGGGACUUAGUGCCGCAGCUAACGCAUUAAGCACUCCGCCUGGGGAGUACGACCGCAAGGUUG